This 468-nucleotide ribosomal RNA is filed under the name uncultured bacterium. RNAcentral describes it as "partial 16S ribosomal RNA". It matches the Rfam family "Bacterial small subunit ribosomal RNA", at positions 28 to 507 of the family's 1533-position model. The record is from RNAcentral.
GACGAACGCUGGCGGCGUGCUUAACACAUGCAAGUCGAACGGAAAGGCCCUGCUUUUGUGGGGUGCUCGAGUGGCGAACGGGUGAGUAACACGUGAGUAACCUGCCCUUGACUUUGGGAUAACUUCAGGAAACUGGGGCUAAUACCGGAUAGGAGCUCCUGCUGCAUGGUGGGGGUUGGAAAGUUUCGGCGGUUGGGGAUGGACUCGCGGCUUAUCAGCUUGUUGGUGGGGUAGUGGCUUACCAAGGCUUUGACGGGUAGCCGGCCUGAGAGGGUGACCGGCCACAUUGGGACUGAGAUACGGCCCAGACUCCAACGGGGGGCAGCAGUGGGGAAUAUUGCACAAUGGGCGGAAGCCUGAUGCAGCAACGCCGCGUGCGGGAUGACGGCCUUCGGGUUGUAAACCGCUUUCGCCUGUGACGAAGCGUGAGUGACGGUAAUGGGUAAAGAAGCACCGGCUAACUACGUG